AAUAGAUACCCCGGUAGUCCACGCCGUAAACGAUGGGUACUAGGCGUCUGGGGGAGCGACCCCCUGGGUGCCGGCGCUAACGCAUGAAGUACCCCGCCUGGGGAGUACGGCCGCAAGGCUGAGACUCAAAGGAAUUGACGGGGGCCCGCACAAGCGGUGGAGCAUGUGGUUUAAUUCGACGCAACGCGAAGAACCUUACCUGGGCUUGACAUGCUGGAGAAAGCUCCCAGAAACGGGAGCCCCUCUUCGGAGUUCCAGCACAGAUGCUGCAUGGCUGUCGUCAGCUCGUGUCGUGAGAUGUUGGGUUAAGUCCCGCAACGAGCGCAACCCUCAUCCCUAGUUACCAGCGGGUAAAGCCGGGAACUCUAGGGGGACUGCCGGUGCCAAAUCGGACGAAGGUGGGGACGACGUCAAGUCAUCAUGGCUCUUACCGUCCAGGGCUACACACGUGCUACAAUGGGUCAGACAAAGGGCAGCCAACCCGCGAGGGGGAGCCAAUCCCAUAAACUGAUCCUCAGUUCGGAUUGCAGUCUGCAACUCGA
RNAcentral lists this ribosomal RNA (542 nucleotides) under uncultured bacterium. Its description in RNAcentral is "bacterial SSU rRNA". It matches the Rfam family "Bacterial small subunit ribosomal RNA", at positions 777 to 1315 of the family's 1533-position model. The record is from RNAcentral.